This 488-nucleotide ribosomal RNA is filed under the name uncultured bacterium. RNAcentral's name for it is "bacterial SSU rRNA". It matches the Rfam family "Bacterial small subunit ribosomal RNA", at positions 28 to 531 of the family's 1533-position model. The record is from RNAcentral.
GACGAACGCUGGCGGCGUGCUUAACACAUGCAAGUCGAACGGUGACGAGGAGCUUGCUCCUCUGAUCAGUGGCGAACGGGUGAGUAACACGUGAGCAACCUGCCCCAGACUCUGGGAUAACAGUUGGAGACAGCUGCUAAUACCGGAUACGAGACGGAGAGGCAUCUCUACCGUCUGGAAAGUUUUUCGGUCUGGGAUGGACUCGCGGCCUAUCAGCUAGUUGGUGAGGUAAUGGCUCACCAAGGCGACGACGGGUAGCCGGCCUGAGAGGGCGACCGGCCACACUGGGACUGAGACACGGCCCAGACUCCUACGGGAGGCAGCAGUGGGGAAUAUUGCACAAUGGGCGAAAGCCUGAUGCAGCGACGCCGCGUGAGGGAUGACGGCCUUCGGUUGUAACCUCUUCUAGCAGGAAGAAGACGAAAGUGACGGUACUGCAGAAGAAGACACCGGCUAACUACGUAGCCAGCACGCCGCGGUAACGGAGU